UGGCUGUCGUCAGCUCGUGUCGUGAGAUGUUGGGUUAAGUCCCGUACGAGCGCAACCCUGCCUUAGUUGUCCAGCAGUUCGGCUGGGCACUCUAAAGGGACUGCCGGUGUUAAACCGGAGGAAGGUGGGGAUGACGUCAAGUCCUCAUGGCCUUUAUGACCAGGGCUACACACGUACUACAAUGGCCGAUACAAAGGGCAGCGACACUGCGAGGUGAAGCCAAUCCCGUAAAAUCGGUCUCAGUCCGGAUUGGAGUCUGCAACUCGACUCCAUGAAGUUGGAAUCGCUAGUAAUCGUGGAUCAGCAUGCCACGGUGAAUACGUUCCCGGGCCUU
This 334-nucleotide ribosomal RNA is filed under the name uncultured Desulfobulbus sp. Its description in RNAcentral is "bacterial SSU rRNA". It matches the Rfam family "Bacterial small subunit ribosomal RNA", at positions 1046 to 1382 of the family's 1533-position model. Lineage: Bacteria; Pseudomonadati; Thermodesulfobacteriota; Desulfobulbia; Desulfobulbales; Desulfobulbaceae. The record is from RNAcentral.